RNAcentral lists this non-coding RNA (160 nucleotides) under human gut metagenome. The record is from RNAcentral.
GGUUCACAAGGGUUAAAAGGGAAACAGGUGUAAGUCCUGUGCGAUCUCGUCACUGUGAGAAGGGAGUGCGGUCAUCGAGAAAGAUUGCCACUGAUGUGAAAAGCAUUGGGAAGGUGAUGGCCGGAUGAGGAUCUUUGAGCCAGGAAACCUGCCAGUUAUU